RNAcentral lists this ribosomal RNA (1432 nucleotides) under uncultured organism. Its description in RNAcentral is "16S ribosomal RNA". It matches the Rfam family "Bacterial small subunit ribosomal RNA". The record is from RNAcentral.
AUGAACGCUAGCUACAGGCUUAACACAUGCAAGUCGAGGGGCAUCAGGAAGAAAGCUUGCUUUCUUUGCUGGCGACCGGCGCACGGGUGAGUAACACGUAUCCAACCUGCCCUUUACUCGGGGAUAGCCUUUCGAAAGAAAGAUUAAUACCCGAUGGCAUAAUGAUUCCGCAUGGUUUCAUUAUUAAAGGAUUCCGGUAAAGGAUGGGGAUGCGUUCCAUUAGGUUGUUGGUGAGGUAACGGCUCACCAAGCCUUCGAUGGAUAGGGGUUCUGAGAGGAAGGUCCCCCACAUUGGAACUGAGACAUGGUCCAAACUCCUACGGGAGGCAGCAGUGAGGAAUAUUGGUCAAUGGGCGCUAGCCUGAACCAGCCAAGUAGCGUGAAGGAUGAAGGCUCUAUGGGUCGUAAACUUCUUUUAUAUAAGAAUAAAGUGCAGUAUGUAUACUGUUUUGUAUGUAUUAUAUGAAUAAGGAUCGGCUAACUCCGUGCCAGCAGCCGCGGUAAUACGGAGGAUCCGAGCGUUAUCCGGAUUUAUUGGGUUUAAAGGGAGCGUAGGUGGACUGGUAAGUCAGUUGUGAAAGUUUGCGGCUCAACCGUAAAAUUGCAGUUGAUACUGUCAUUCUUGAGUACAGUAGAGGUGGGCGGAAUUCGUGGUGUAGCGGUGAAAUGCUUAGAUAUCACGAAGAACUCCGAUUGCGAAGGCAGCUCACUGGACUGCAACUGACACUGAUGCUCGAAAGUGUGGGUAUCAAACAGGAUUAGAUACCCUGGUAGUCCACACAGUAAACGAUGAAUACUCGCUGUUUGCGAUAUACAGUAAGCGGCCAAGCGAAAGCAUUAAGUAUUCCACCUGGGGAGUACGCCGGCAACGGUGAAACUCAAAGGAAUUGACGGGGGCCCGCACAAGCGGAGGAACAUGUGGUUUAAUUCGAUGAUACGCGAGGAACCUUACCCGGGCUUAAAUUGCAGUGGAAUGAUGUGGAAACAUGUCAGUGAGCAAUCACCGCUGUGAAGGUGCUGCAUGGUUGUCGUCAGCUCGUGCCGUGAGAUGUCGGCUUAAGUGCCAUAACGAGCGCAACCCUUAUCUUUAGUUACUAACAGGUUAUGCUGAGGACUCUAGAGAGACUGCCGUCGUAAGAUGUGAGGAAGGUGGGGAUGACGUCAAAUCAGCACGGCCCUUACGUCCGGGGCUACACACGUGUUACAAUGGGGGGUACAGAAGGCAGCUAGCGGGUGACCGUAUGCUAAUCCCAAAAGCCUCUCUCAGUUCGGAUCGAAGUCUGCAACCCGACUUCGUGAAGCUGGAUUCGCUAGUAAUCGCGCAUCAGCCACGGCGCGGUGAAUACGUUCCCGGGCCUUGUACACACCGCCCGUCAAGCCAUGGGAGCCGGGGGUACAUGAAGUACGUAACCGCAAGGAUCGUCCUAGGGUA